RNAcentral lists this ribosomal RNA (253 nucleotides) under uncultured bacterium. RNAcentral describes it as "partial 16S ribosomal RNA". It matches the Rfam family "Bacterial small subunit ribosomal RNA", at positions 524 to 776 of the family's 1533-position model. The record is from RNAcentral.
UACAGAGGUCCCGAGCGUUGUUCGGAUUCAUUGGGCGUAAAGGGUGCGUAGGCGGUCUGCUAAGUUUGAUGUGAAAUCCCGGGGCUCAACCCUGGAAUUGCAUUGAAUACUGGCGGACUAGAGUACUGGAGAGGAAACUGGAAUUUACGGUGUAGCAGUGAAAUGCGUAGAGAUCGUAAGGAAGACCAGUGGCGAAGGCGAGUUUCUGGACAGUAACUGACGCUGAGGCACGAAGGCCAGGGGAGCAAACGGG